CCCAAUUUUGGGGAAAUACUACAAUUUCCUCAUUAACAAUGCUUUGUCAUUGUGUGCUUAAAUGCUCAGACCUUUAUUUUUCUCAUAGUACAUUGUUUUCAAAAUGAAUUCAUUCCAGUCUUUUAGAUUUCAAGUGAAGACAUUUUUGAGGCAUUUGAGUGCAAAUUAAGUGUCUGCAAAAUGACAGCAAAUGAGAACACUACUUCAUCCUGCUUCAAUAAAUUUAUAAAUGAGUGAAUACAAAUUUUGCCAACAUUUACAUAUACAUACCCACGCAAGCACACACAAUUGUCUUCAGUGUAAGAAUAUGUAUGAGCAAUUUCAACGCAAAGAAUAGUUUAUUCCAGAAAAUAACAAAUUCUUGAAAUGAAAAGCCCUGAACAAAAACAUUUCACCUCCAAAUAGAGGGGCUCUCUGUUCUGACCACUUAUUCAGCACCAAUCAUUUGUGUAAGUCAAAUUUCUGUAUGGGCUAUGGAUUUUCAGCAAUGGAUAUUGAAACAAUGCCACCCACUACUACCGAGCUGUAAUAUUCUGGUAGACUUUAUAAGCAGCCUCACAGAAAACUUUGAAAAAUAAUCUCUUUAGAAACAAAUCCCUUUGCAUAUGAUGUUCUCUUCUUCUUCAUAACUAAAGGCAUUUGCAUGAGAACAAGGUCUUCGUUUUAGAAGAAUCCAGCUACUCCCACUGUUUAUUCCCCACUUGAAGUCAUAAUCCCUGCUUUGUGACAUCAUGGUUGGUUACGAUGAAAAUGGCUAUUAUUGAGAAAACAGAAGGAUUAACUGCAGUCCUGCUGGCUCUGGGGCCGGGGGAAAGAAGAUGUAACUUCUAGUUGAUGUCAACCAAGUAUUGAAGAAGGCUUCUCUAACAGCAGCUGACCAACACACUCAUGGCAAUUAAGUUAUCUGAUCAGUUUUGUCCUUUUAACUCUCUUUUAAGCAAGAUCCUGUUUUCUGUAUGUAGACAGAGCUUCCUGCUGUGUGCUGUCGAAAGAAUGAGAAGACAAGAUGGAGAAUCAAUUUAAGAAAAAAAGCUUCAGUUGACAAAGCUUUGCUGUAGAUCAAUGGAGUCUAGCUAGUUAAAAUAUCUUUGGUAGCAGAGAUUUUACAAUCAUGAGCUUGGACAUAAUCAGUUUGGUUUCCCCUAUUCCAUUCAAAUAGUAUUUUGCUAGAUGAAAAUAAU
This 1181-nucleotide long non-coding RNA is filed under the name Anser brachyrhynchus (Pink-footed goose). RNAcentral describes it as "lncRNA (ENSABRG00000018336.1)". Lineage: Eukaryota; Metazoa; Chordata; Aves; Anseriformes; Anatidae. The record is from RNAcentral.